Molecule: non-coding RNA, 327 nt
Organism: Lolium perenne
Lineage: Eukaryota; Viridiplantae; Streptophyta; Magnoliopsida; Poales; Poaceae
Source: RefSeq, a predicted model, not a curated record
CAUUUAAAUUAUUAUUUGGUGGGCUGGUCCCACGAGAGGCGAUGUGUCCUUUGCAUUGGCCUACAAUGAGGUCCUAGAAGCCUGGGUGGUGUGGCUGCAUCCAGAAACUUGUCCCUCCAGGUGUGCCUCCUCGGGAACAAGCAGGUCGACCGACUGCGGCUGCUCUUCUCCGAUGCCGGGGGCGGCGGGCUGCUGGUGCUGCUUAUUGACCCAUCUGCCUCCACCGCCGAUCCUAGAAGCCUGGGUGGUGUGGUUGCAUGCUUGCCGCGGCCUCCUGCGCCUCGCUUGUUGGUUGUAGGCCUUUGGCUUCUUUGUCUCCAGUUAAGG